Long non-coding RNA from Lolium rigidum, 2801 nucleotides. RefSeq lists it as uncharacterized. NCBI's taxonomy places the organism in Eukaryota, Viridiplantae, Streptophyta, Magnoliopsida, Poales, Poaceae. The record is from RefSeq and is a predicted model, not a curated record. The transcript has 5 exons.
GACGAGUACGGGGAGGCGCAUCGCAGGGAAGGCAGCACCAGACCGCCGUCCAAUCUACCACCUCGCCGCCAACGAGCAUGAGCUGUGAGGAGGAGGCGCGUCGCGGGGAUGAAUCCGACAGGACACUGUCGACUCCACCACACCGCCGCCGAUGAGCUCGAGGAGGAGGCGUGACGGGCGGAGAGGGCUACACAAGGCCACAGACGACUCCACCACGCCGUGAAAAGCAGCUCUGAUGGAUCCCGACCGCCUCGGCGUGUGCCCCAUGUCGGGAUUUCUUUUCGUCUCCUCCCCGCCACGAUCUCUCCUGAAGCGGCGGUUGACUGGAGGCGAGAAACGUCGGGAGCCCUCGCCGACGUCUUCGUUGCUGGCGCUGCCGUGGCCGGCGAUGUCUUGGGCCGGGGCGCGGAAGAGGUUGGACAAGCAGUCACCAACUUGCCAUGCCACAACGCGACGGCAAGCCCCCGUGCUAGCAACGCCUUGGCCCCGAGCGACCGCUGAAGCCAGUGGAGGACCAGACGGUGCCGGUUCUCCUAUUGACGGCAAGAUUGGAAACCUUUCUUCUCAAUCAGAUUGGGUCAUGCUUUGCAGCUGUGGCCGACGGGCUUAUGGAAAACAACGACAACUGCGGAAUAUGGUUUUUGUUUGCUUCCUUAAUUGCCAGGCCAUGGCUGGAAUAGGUCGUGGUUUGUGGCAGGCAUCCUACAUCGAGCAUCGAGAACUUGGCAUUUGUUUGGUUUCUUAAUUCUCAGAUGAAGAUUUGCGCCCCUUCAUCAAGAUUCAGUUUAUUUUUGUUUGUUUCGUCCAUCAGUAGCAGGGGCAAACAACUUUUUGGUUGGACAGAUACCUCCCUUUCUACUUCCCCGUCGAACCAUUGAUUGAUCAUAGUUGAUCCUUGCUUAGCUUCAUGCCGCUGUUGCUGAUCCAAUCGAAGUCAGGGAGCCGGUUCCUCUUCGAGGAGUGGAGAGUUUUCAUGCUCAAUGAGAGUUGUCGUAAAUAGAAUCAAGCGUACUCUCUUCAAACUCAACGAGCUCACUGACAUCUUCACACUCGUGGACUCUGGUGCAUCAAGGAUAGAAGACCGAUAUGCUUCAGUACUGACAUUGAUCUACAAGUAAUUAGUUCUUUCAGCAACAAAUGCAAAUGCUUACAUGGUAAAACAUGGACAUGCAUUGGACCAUUCUAGAGAUGUCUCAUUGCUUCAGUUUUCUUUCUAGGUAUCCUUUAAUUGCUGCCCAUUCUCAAUUAGUUUAUUAACAAAUUAAUUAGUAUGUGAAGUAUUCCUAUUCCUUACAGAGUACCUUGGUUCUGCUCCUUUGUCCAAUUGUACUGUGCUUGCAUACAUAGCUGAAAACCCCCAAAAUUAUUCCAUGUAAUUUGCAAGCAGUUCAGAGACUCUUUGAGCACGUUCAUUGUUCAGAGCAUGUGUCCUUAGGUCUCCCAUACUUGAACUGCAUGAUAUGCAUCUUGAUGCUGAAAAGAAGAUGAUGUACAUAUAUGUGUGGCUCUUCUGAGCAAGUUUAUUAAUGUCUGGGAGGCUACUGUUAGUUAUAUUUGCCUGGUAGGUGCCUACAUAUGAUUUUUUUCAACAUUAGUCUCACUUGAUUUUGUGCAGCGUAUCUACUUCUGUAAAACUAUUUUAUCGGUUUUCGCAUGAGGAUAUGCGUAAUGUUCAGUGAAUAGAUUUUAGAAGGCACUAUCUAUUGCCUAGCUACUGAAAUUGCAUAAAUGAUCAGUGGGGAGAUUUUAGAAGGCACUAUCUAUCUAUUGCUAAUAGUAUGAUAAGACACUACAUGGUAAAUAUAUUAGCAUCCCGUUCAAAUGACUGGAGGUCUUCCUAAUUGAAGGGACUCUUUUCUAGCCAAAAAUUAAUCACACUAACAAUACAUCUAUACAAUGUGAUAUCCCGUCAGAAGCAUCACUACCCACACCCAGCUAUUGCUUUAGUAUCAAAUAGAACUGCAAUUGCUAAACUUCCACGUCAUUUUUUUUGUCAAGAGCUACUAAACUUUCCUCUUAUUUUUUGGAUGAGGUGUUCAGUUCUUUCUUGGUUGGGAUUGACACCGAGCACUACCCAGAAAGUUUCGGUGGGACAAUAUUCUCUACAAGGUCGGCUUCGGAUCAUCUGAACAUGAAACAACGACGACAGAAGUCUUACAUUACCUUUCCGAUGUUGGCAUUAUAGCUUUUUUCAAUUUCUUUGGACAGAGCUUGCUCCAGUUCUAGCCCUCCCCGUGCGAAGCAAAGAAAUCAUCACCAUCUUUCAUCUGCCACUGAAUAUAACAGUGCCAAACACUGAUAGUUUGAUGACAGGGGAACAGGGAGACCACCCGCCUUAGCAUGCUAAAAAAUUAUAUUCAUGCUAAUUAGUUCAACUAUACAGUUCAGGUACUGCUUAGGAACGUCAAUCCUAUCGGUUAUGUAAUGAAAAUAAUCUAUGUAUGUUAGUAUCUCUAGCCAAUGUCCCUACGUGGAUUUAUCUUACCAUCUCUGUACUCAACUAGGAAUAUAUAUAUUAGUAACAAAUUCAAAAGCCUGUGGAAGUUUUUUCAUAGUACAUAAAUUUUACUCAUUCCUUCAGUAUGUUUGGGAUAAGGAUAUCACAUAGAUAAAGUUUCACCUUGAAUUGCCGCCGCGCCAGUUCAUGUGGGCGGAUGUGGGGCAUGAGCAUAGCAGCCAGUCUGAAGACCACCGGCGCGGGAACUCCGGCUUCCAGGUGAACCAUUCCACUCCGUGCUUUUUUACUUCCAUCAAUCAGAUAAUUUCUCAAAUAUUUUCUUCUCUUUUCUCAGUUCAGUCAG